GGUCAAGCUAAUACGGCUGAUGGUGGAUACCUAGGCACACAGAG
Molecule: ribosomal RNA, 44 nt
Filed under: Chroococcidiopsis sp. UFS-A4UI-NPMV4-B4
Lineage: Bacteria; Bacillati; Cyanobacteriota; Cyanophyceae; Chroococcidiopsidales; Chroococcidiopsidaceae
Also listed under: 3 other names
Description: partial 23S ribosomal RNA
Source: RNAcentral